This is a long non-coding RNA of Entelurus aequoreus (snake pipefish), 2076 nucleotides long. RefSeq lists it as uncharacterized. The record is from RefSeq and is a predicted model, not a curated record. Lineage: Eukaryota; Metazoa; Chordata; Actinopteri; Syngnathiformes; Syngnathidae. The transcript has 3 exons.
ACAAAGCAAGUCCACGGUACCUCCUCCUAAUAACCAGAUGACAGCGGUACCAUCGUGAUGAUGAUACCGAUGAGACCCAGUCCACUUCCACCGCUGGAACCUUCUUCUUUUUAUAUUCCAAGCAAAAAAAAAAAACCCAAAAAUUCAAAGUAGAACAUUUCGACCACAUGACUUUAGAACAAUUUAAAUGAUGGGAGUUCUUGAUGGAGACGUCGUUAUGGCAACCGCAUCCUCCUCCAAGCACCAAGAUGCAAGCGAAGGAAAUCACCCGGGACCAAGCCCAACUGAUCAACGCUAAAUGUAUGGCAAGAGAGCCAGUGUGUUGAGCUGCUGGCUCCGCCCCCUCAUCACGGUCCCAGGCUGAAUGGCAGGCUGCUGGGUACCCUAAGUGAUGAAAUGAUGACCCCAUUAAGAGAAGCGCUUCCAAAAAUGAGGGGUAUCGGCCAAAGAUUGCGACUCCUCUCUCUCGGCGCCUUGCCGCCACCGCCGCCGCCGUCCUGCUCUCGCUGCUGCACAAAUCAUGAUUGAUUCGCUUGAGAUGGAUCACAGGAAGCACCUAUUGAUUUUUUCCCCUCACUAAAAAAAAAUACUUAUUUACAGUUAUCCAGACUUACUCAAUAUCCACUUUUUUUCCAAACAAGUGAUGGGAUAAAAGAGUUAAUUCUCCUUGCUCCAUGACUUGACAAAUGACCUGUGAUAUUAUUUCAGUGAGGAGUCAAUAUGGCUGCCGGACUAAAUGAAUAUUGAUUGGUUAUAAUGAAGCCAGAGUGUGGAUAUGAGCUCUUUCAGGGGCCCCUGACGCAGCCAGCAUCCACGAUGAUGCCUCACACACUGCGGCUCCCUUUAGAAAUGAUCGGUUCCAGAAUUAACCUGUUGCCUUCAGAAUGCCUUUAACAAUACAGGCAGCAUUUCAAGUAGUUUUAAAGUGGAAAAAUAACUUAACCACUCUGUAACCGUACAGACGUAAUCUAAAAUAACUGGACUUUUGAUGACAAAACUGAGGAAAAGAUGGUCCAAUUUCAUGCAUUGUUUUGUUUUAAGUGUAAUGAUACAUUAACCUAACUAAAUUCAACCAGGUUAAAAUUAAAAAACAUUUGAACAUUAGCAAGUGUCACACAAGAGUUGUUCAUUGACAUUAAAUGCAACUUAAUUUUCAGACUUUUGUGUAAAAAAAAUUAAUUUUGAUUUUAUUAAUGGAAAACCCCUUGAGAUGCAGCAUCAGUGACAUUUAAAAUUAACCCAAUACAGUACAACACAGUACAAUUUACACAACAAACAAUUACAGACAAUCAUUAAUUUUGCUCAGAUACCUCACAGGUCACACAACUCUCUCAGAAUGUAAUAUAUUUACAAUAGAAUAACAUAUUAUUGCAGUAAAAUAAAUAUAAUGUUAUUCAAUUCAAUUCCAACCAAGAGCAUACAGUUUUAAGACGAACAAAAAGAGACAUUUUGAAGGGACCAAUGGUUGAUAAAGACCUCAGAGAGACAGAAAAGAAGUUACCCGCUGUCAUAAUACCGUUAAAUGACAUCAAAUAAUUCUACAUUCAUAUUACCCUCGGAGAAAGCAUACAGCACACGCAAAAAUGUACACAAAAAGUUCUUGUUUAACACGUUGGGCUGUCAUUCAAGUGUAAAAAUAAGUUAACCGCUGUAUAAUAGGAUGCAUUAAAAUAAUACAAUUGCUCACACUUGGCAAAGGCAUUGUUUAUUGGCAAGUUUCCUUUUGCACUUAUUAAAAAAAUGUGUCAUUCAAGUGCAAAUAUAAGUUAAACAGUCUUUUUUUUUUUUUUUACACAAAAUUUAUUUUGCACGAGUGUAGUGUGCGGUAAAGGUGUUGCAACUUCAUGCAUCAUAUUUGUGUACAUUCUUAACUCAUACUUCAUAGCUGAAUGUGCCUAAGAGGUGAGUCUCACCACAUACUACAGUAAAUAUUCACCAAAAAGAGCACCAUUUGCAUGAUACGUCCCGCUUUAUUAUUAUUGACUGUAUCCAUAUUGUACUGAGCAGCCCAACAUAGACUUUGCAGUACAUUUCAUUUCCUGUUGUAUGGUAUUAACUACACUUUUUUCAUGUUAU